GCUAAACGCAGGAGGGAGCUUGUCGGAGCUGAGGCAAAGCGAUCUCGCUCAGUCUCCGUGUGUUGUAGCAGAUUUCAGACUGCCUCAGUUCAACCCUAACAGCCCCAUCGGUCAGGAGUUUGUGGUCAGGAUUUUUCUGUAACAUCUGCUCUGUUUUCUGCCUGAAUGAGAAGACCGCCAAGGAACUCCACUGCUGCAGCCAGAAACACUACGACAACCUGCAGAAAUAUUAUGAGGAACGUCGACAAAGAGCUACAAAAGCUUUGUCUCAGACGUCUCCAGGCUCCGUUUCUGACUGAUGGACCUGAUCUACUGUAUUUUUAACACAUAACUGUGCAGAGUGUAUAUAUAUGUAUAUGUGUGUAUGUGUGUCCUGGAUGACUGUGGAUAUGUUUGCGGUUUUGUGAUUUGUUUCUUAUUU
Pundamilia nyererei is the source of this 421-nucleotide long non-coding RNA. RefSeq lists it as uncharacterized. NCBI's taxonomy places the organism in Eukaryota, Metazoa, Chordata, Actinopteri, Cichliformes, Cichlidae. The record is from RefSeq and is a predicted model, not a curated record. The transcript has 3 exons.